Molecule: ribosomal RNA, 1389 nt
Filed under: Antarctophthirus microchir
Lineage: Eukaryota; Metazoa; Arthropoda; Insecta; Psocodea; Echinophthiriidae
Description: large subunit ribosomal RNA
Rfam family: Bacterial large subunit ribosomal RNA
Source: RNAcentral
AAAGACCUAUAGAGUGUGUGACAUUUUCCAUCUCUUCAUAUCACAAUAGAGUAUUAAUUGGGCCAGUAUUCGAAUACAACGAAACUUCACCUCACCAUACUAUGGUAACAUCUAAUAGAACUGAAAAGGACUAACAUAAAAUUUGAUUAAAAGUAGUCAAACGUGUCGUACCUUUUGUAUCAGGGUCUCUGGAAUGAAAUUAAACCAAAAUAGUCGGUCUUUCCCGAACAGAAAUGAAUUUCUACUAUUAAAUUGUCGUUAAUGUUUAAAAAUCAAGGGUAACAUUCCUUGUCUAUAAAUCAGUAGAGGAAGUGACAAGCUAAUUCGGAUUUCUAGUUAUCUGGUUAACUCCUACACUCCUUUUUAGAAGGUAAGGCUUAAUGCACAUCGUAUGGAGCCCCACAUCACCUGAGGGAUAAGCUUUGGGUGUGCUCAGAAUGAACUACUACUUUCCAUAUCGACAAAGUGACACACGAUCAUCCGCGUCGACCAACUAUCCAACAUUGAUUAAGUUAAAGGAAAGGUUGCAAUCAAAUUUACGCUAAUCUGACCUAAUACCAUCUGCACUGUUAAUCUUAAUUUAACUAAAGGCAGGAGUUACCGUUCUCAACAUCUUUAUCGACGGUUAAAAAUCAGCUAGGAAUCAGUAACCUAUAGCCCUCUGCUACUCAUCUCAACAAUUUGUGCACGACUAAUUGCUACACAACCUACAAAAGGAACUCGGCAACACUCUGCUUGGCCUGUUUAGUAAAAACAUCUCCUCUCUCGAGAAUGUGAGGUCCCACCUGCCCAAUGCCUACACGGUAAAUGGCUGCAGUAAUCUGACUGUACAAAGGUAGCGUAAUCACUUGGCUCUUAAUUGGAGUCUCGAAUGAAUGGUGCCACCAAAGCAUAACUGUCUCUUGUUAGGGUAAGUGAACUUAAAUCGUGGGUGAAAAUGCCUACCUAACUUAGUGGGACGAGAAGACCCUGUAGAUCUUUACCUAUCCUGUAUGCUAAAUUGUAAGCAUGAGUGACUGGUUUACCUGGGACGGGGUGUUCAACGUGUUUAACUCUCUUUAAAUCAAUAAAACUAUCGGUUUAAUUUGUCGACCCCCUAUUAAGGGUUACAAAGAUAAAGUUACCUCAGGGAUAACAGCGUAAUCUAACUUCUUAGACCUGAUGGGAUAGUUAGGGUUACGACCUCGAUGUCGAAUUAAGUUUCCACCUGUGGAGUAGACACUAAGGAUGUUAGUCUGUUCGACUAUUAAAAACUUACAUGAUUUGAGUUUAGACCGACGUGAGUCAGGUCAGAUUCUAUCUCCUAACUUUAAUUGAUAAUCUAAGUACGAAAGGACAAGACUAUCGGUACGAUAUACUCUCUUAACCUGAGUAUUAGUUAUCAGAUAG